CACGUAGGGUGCGAGCGUUUGUCCGGAAUUAUUGGGCGUAAAGAGCUCGUAGGCGGUGUGUCGCGUCGGCCGUGAAAACCUGCAGCUUAACUGUGGGCUUGCGGUCGAUACGGGCAUCACUGGAGUUCGGCAGGGGAGACUGGAAUUCCUGGUGUAGCGGUGAAAUGCGCAGAUAUCAGGAGGAACACCGGUGGCGAAGGCGGGUCUCUGGGCCGAUACUGACGCUGAGGAGCGAAAAGCGUGGGGGAGCGAACAGG
RNAcentral lists this ribosomal RNA (257 nucleotides) under uncultured bacterium. RNAcentral describes it as "partial 16S ribosomal RNA". It matches the Rfam family "Bacterial small subunit ribosomal RNA", at positions 524 to 776 of the family's 1533-position model. The record is from RNAcentral.